UUUUUUCUUUUUUUCUUUUUCUUUUUGGAUCAUGUGUUUUUCUCUGUAAUAGGUUUGAAUAAAUCUCAUUGUGAUGUGAGCUACAAUCAUAAACAGCAUUAUUAGAUGCUGGUAUAGACUUCUACACUGAGCUUCAACCAGGUACAAGAUCUACACAAAAGAAAGCUGUAAGCUGUUGGGCCUUGGGGACCACAAACUUGAGGUCCCUGAGUCCAAUUCCUAGAGUCCAAAGUUAUAAUCUCAGUGCUGAGGAGGCAUAGACAGCUGGAUCUCAGGACACAUUGGCCAGUCAGACCUCGUCAGUGAGAAACUGUCUGGAAAAAGAAGUAUAGAACCUGAAGAACAACAUUUAAGGUUGUUCUCUGGUCUCUCUCUCUCUCUCUCUCUCUCUCUCUCUCUCUAUCUCUCUCUGUCUCUCUUGUCUCUGUUUCUCUCUCUGUUUUUACACACACACACACACACACACACUAAGCUUUUUAAUACCAUUUACAAUUCUGUCUUCCUGUCUUCCCCAUGCCUCCCAAGAAGGAAACAGAGUAAGAUGCUGCCUUCGAAGCAGGGAUUUGACAAAGCAUCCCGAGAGAGACAGUUGAGGGGACUGUGAGGAAACUGGAGACUUCAGGUCCAGUUCUGCACAGUUUGACUUCACAGCAUUCAUUGCUUCUUGUACAAGGCGCAGACCUGCACAGACGGCUACAAAUCAGCUACAGCAUCCCUGUCGCUGCAACUUCCCCUCUGCACGAUCAGAACGGAAACGUUUGCUCUAUUGGAAGGGAGUGAUAAGGAUGGAUUUUUAAAGUUUCCAUUUUUAAGUGAAAAUGAAAGAAAAAUGCUCUCCUAGAUGUGUUGUGCCUUUGAGCUCCGUUUGAAAAAAAGGGGGGGAAAAGGCAGAGAAAGCCGCUGUGAAGGUCACUGAGUGAAAGAACUUCCUCAGGGCACAGAAUAAAUUAAAUCCCAAGGAAAAAAUAAAAUGUGAUUUCCAGAGUGUGAGGCACAAACUCCAAAUGACAAUGAUUGACAGCCAAACUAUAUCCGUGCAAUAUCCAAGACUGCACGUUCUCAUUUACCUCGGUGUAGCCAGCAAGCGCCCAUUAAACAUCCGUCUGAUGCCCAAAUUAACCUUCUUGGCAAACUGAAAGAGGCACAAACUAUCAUAAUCAACCUUUCAUUAUCACAGCAGCCUCUAGUUAAAGGGUCAGAAUAAUUGUGCCAUCAGAGCCUUGAUUGUUUUCAAUCAACAGCCGGCUGGAGUGACAGCUCGGUGAUGGAGGAGUCUGAUGAAGCCGCACCAGUCCUAAUCAGAGCAGAUGAAAGGAAGGCAUGAUUGGUGCAAAUGAACAGUCGUGCCUCUCCUUUUCAUUUACAAUCUGAAAUUACUCUUAAAUUUGUGAGGUUUUUUUUUUUCCUCCCUUAUGAGCACCACUGAAAGAAUGUUUGACUUAUUAUGAGUUCUGACAGUGCAGAGUUAUAAAACACAGGUAGGGUUAUCAGCUGAGGCUUUAAGUGGGUAUUCAGCAUAAUUCUAACAAAUUCACUCUUGAAAAGCACAAAAUGACUAAAAAGGCUUCCAUGGCCUAACCUCUCAGCGCAGUCUGAUAAAGAGCGGUUUUUGCUCAGCUGGCUUUGCAAAUGCUGAGAGGAUCGGGCUGAGAACACGCAUGCGCCGGAGACGCUUUCAUUAGCUCCACAGUACAGGUCCCUCGGUCCCAGUCCUUUUUGUUCUCUGAGAACAGGAAGGACAUGAAGAGCUGAGAAAGACUUCAUUCAUCAGUGGGUGCGCAUCAGCUAGAAUCAACUGUGGCUACAAACCUGAAGCUCCCCUGCUGUACCACAAGUGGCAGAGAACGGAGCAGAACCACCAAUCCAAAGCUGACAUAAAAAGAGUAUCCCAAGAGAAGAAUGGAAGUUCUAAGACGGGGCCAGGUAAACGGGGCAUUAAAUGGAUUUGGAGAAAAUGAAACAGUAUGAAGUUAGUUAUACAGUCCUUCUUGCAUUAACAAACUGUAGAUAUUAACAUCCUUUAAAACAUAGCGAUGAAUGGAACCGAAUAAACAAGCCUCUAGCUUCGAUUUUCUUAAGUUUGCAAUCAACUAGGGACUCAUCAUGAAACUGAUAGGUUUUAAGUCAAAGCUACAAAACAAAGGGAAAAGGUUUAGCUAUAAAAUCCGUGUGUAUUAUUUGCAUGUGCACAAGUGCAUAUAUGCACGCACGUGUGUGUGGUACAGGCUCUGAAGGAUUUUACGUUUCUUUAGGAUUUGAACAUUCAGGAUUCUACCUCUCUGGAGUGCACUGCUUUGAAUUGUGCUCAGCACUGCUGUAAGGCGAGAGGGUAUCCGCUGGCUCAGCUUUCAGGGUGCUGGGAUUCAUUUGCUGUCUUGAUUAUAAUACUCCUGUAACAGAGAGGAGGUGCUAGAACCACGAUGGAGAACGUCAUCACUGGGAAUGUACAACUCUGCAAAAUGGGCCCAAAGAGAACCUAAGACUCAUCUCUUUCUAUGGGUUCUCAUGCAGACCGUGGCCUUGGAAUCACUUGUUUCCAGAUAUUUUAAGUCCAAAUGUCCUCUCUUCCUAUAUGGUAGAGAUGGACUACAGGGCUCAUGCACUCCAGUUUCUAGUCCCAGGUAGAAACCAUAGCCUGCGGAUUUGCCCAGUCUUCCUUAGCUACCUCAGCAGAAGUAAAGGAACUCAGCGCUCUCUUACACUGAUGAAGUCGCCUCACAGGAUCUGCAAGUGACUCCACCUUAUCAGCCUCCCCUUGGCAUUCUGACGAACAUAAGGUACUUCACUGAGCAACUGAAAUGCUCUAUACGUUCUUCUUAAUUGACCCAUCUAAAGAACCCCAAAUUUUCUGGCAAGACCCUCAGCAAUAUAUCCUACUGCUGAUUCCGCUACUGCUGUUAUCAGAGUCAUUUUUGCUGUUUCCCACAGAGUUGUACAAGAUGUUCAAAGGAAUGCUGGCCAGUUACUGAAAAUAUCAAUAGUUGAUUUUAUUCAUUAUGGAGUAAGAUUUAGAUAUGGAAGAUGUAGGGACUACUUUUAUUUAUUUGGUUGGGGGAGAUGCUUGGUGUAUUUUGAGAGAAUAAAGUAAGAUCACCAUUGGAACAAAAUGUAAAGUGAGUUAGUUAUCAAUGAAUCUCACACUUAGACUCUGCUUUUCUCACUAGUUAAAAUUUAGAUAAAACUUGCCUCAUACACUAUAAUAAGUCUAAGGAAAGAUUCAUAUGAAAUUAUGUGUAAAAAAUUCAUUAAAAUAGAAAGCUCUCUAGGCUUCUAAGAAUUAUUAUUGUUGUUAUUAUUGGUGGACUUCUGUGCCUGCCCUCAGGGUUUCUACCUCAUAUACAGCUUAUGGUUGGGUUUUAUUUUUAAAUCCCUGAUAACCCAGGUAGCAGCAAUAUUACUGCAGGCCACCAAUGCAUAAGUAAUAUUCUCCAGUCAUCUUUUCCCUUCUCAUAACAACAACAAAAAUAUCAGUCUGGGAACAACAUGAAUCACAAUGAAAAUUAGAACCAGAAAACAUAAAUAUGUCAUAUCUCAUAAAUCACCUUCUUGUUCUGUUGUGUUCAAUUCCAAAAAAAAAAAAAAAAAAAAAAAAGGAAAAAGAAAAAGAAACUGUUAACUCCCGGGACCAGCAGCACAUGAAUACAAGUUGCCUUUCUUGUAAUUUCUGAUAAUCGCUACCCCUCACAGCUACUCGACAGCACACUGCCCUAGUGCUGGGAAUUGGCUGCAGCAAAGUCCCUAUGAAAUGGUUGUGUCAUGUGUCUCACAAAGGCAUAAAGCCCAGACAAACAACAGCAAAGCCACUAGUCAAGCUACCGGGGAAGCGCCCGCACGGAGAAUUAGCAGCGUGGAGGUCAGGAGGAAUGACUGAAUACACAGUAGCAUGUUCAAGUACCAAGCCCAGGCAGAACAGCAUCUCUCAGGGUCCAGCUGGGGGCCCGUAAAAGAAGCAUCCUCGGGACUGCACCAUUUGAGAUGCAAAGGAGCUGGUGUUUAUUUUCUCCACUAACAUUUAAUAGAAUGUACAAGACUGUAUCCGCUGGGUGGAACGAGUAGGCAGUUUCGGGAAGAAAAUUGAGAACUGGUACAAAUUUGAUUAGCUUAGGGAUUGGUGAGUAAAAAUACAUAUGGAAAUUAAUACAUAAAUAUACCCUGCAAAGGCCUAGCCCGGAAAAAUAUAGCAAUACUAUUAUACUACAACUUAUGCACAAAAAUAGACAAGGAUAAAAUGAAAGAUUACACUUUCGGAGUAAAAGUCUAAGAACACAGAGUCUGACUUCAUUUUAAGUUACCAAGAUCUAUGUAUUUAAAAUGUGAACUCUAUUUUGGAAAAUUUUCGAUUAUAUAAGCAUACCCUAUGAUUCAUUUGAUUAGGACAAAGACCAGCAGAGAUUUUUCAAAGCUAUAUGAGCAUGACCAGGAUUCAUCAAUGAACAAGUUACUAAAGAAACAAUGAAGGAACCCUGGAUGCUGAGGGAAUGUCCAAGCAAUUGCACUUCUAUUUCUGUAGAAACAAAGUCAUUUCAAUACACCCCAAGUGACAAGCAGAACUGUCCACAGCAGACCCACAGCACCCAGGAAAGCAGGGCCACUACCAAGCAUCCAGCACCCAUGCCUUACUUACCGCAGGCAGCAAGAGUGCUCAGUACCAUCUGGCUGCCACAGCAGGGCCUCAGUACCUAGUUAUCAUGAAUGAAGGACUGAAGCACGGCCAUAGCACACAGAAGAAUAAGCAAGAUGACAGACUCAGUGCAGGAAGAGCAGUCAUACUCUUUCUACUGUGGGUGCUACUGCACAACUACACAGAGAACCGCAAGAGCUUAAAAUGUCUUCUUACGUCUCCAUUUCUUUAGUCCUUGUGGUUGGAUACAGAGCCUCACUCACCACAGAAAAGACUCUAAGCACUGAGAUAUACCCGGCCUUUCCUAAUUUUGUUUAAAGGCAAAGGAAUGUUUGAUGCAAUCUGUUUACCAGUUCUUAAUAACUUUAGGCUCUUGGCCAGGGUGGAUAGGUACAAAGUUAGGGGACAGGAAUUUGCAGCUUUGUUCUGCCAAUUUUCCACUUAUAUCAUUGGACUGAAAAAAAAUGGUAAGUAUAAAAGCAUUCUCAAGACUUUGACUCACUGUGUAAAUCAGAAGCACAGGGAUGCAUUGGUUCACCAGUUGCAGUGUGUGAUCGGCUUAUGGCGGAUCAGAAGUAUAUUCGGGUCAGGUUAUCAUCUAAGAGGUACAAGAUGAAACCUGCAGAAGUCACUCAGGGCCUGCACCUUCUGACUAUGAAAGGGUAGAAAGUUUACCUUCUGGGAUUACUUUUAAGGAAAAUGAGUAAGUUGAAACACCAUGCAUGGAUUCUGUGGUGCAGACAAAAGCUAAAGAAGAUCUGGUCAAAAAACAAAAACAAAAAAUCAUCAGCACAGAAGAGGCUGUUGACUACCCUCUCCAGUCUGUAGCUCUCCUUCUAGAGACACAGAUUUCCAGUAAGAUACAAGAAAAUACGGAUUUUAAAAGGCCAAACGCAUUGUCUAUACCGUGUUUCCUAAAAAAAAAUUAAGUACAUUAUUAUAUAGGAAUGGUAGUAUAUCUUAUCAUUCAUUCAAUUUUAAUAUUAAGGCUGCACAUUAUUGUCAUUAUUAUCUAUGGGAUACAUGAGAACAACAUGGUUAUACAAUGUGAACAUUGCAGGCCCAGCCUCUGCCUCUGGAAGUCCAUAAUCACAGACAGAUGUAAACAGGAUUAUACCAGCUCGAAAGAGAUAGCAUGGACAUCUUAUGAAUAGGAAGAAAGUGUCUACCAGCCAAGGACAACAAAGGAGUAAAAGCAUUGUUAGAGACUAUAUAGGAAGUGUUAGUAAAUUAUUAAAGGGAAAUAAAUAUUCUACAAAUGCAAAUAUUAAAAUGGAAUAAAUCUGAUUAAAUAACUUGAAAUUUACCUUAAAUUGUGUUCGGGGGUGGGGGGGUGGGGAUGUAAUUUCUAACACUAUGUUUAACACUAUGGUGGUUUGAAUAUACUUGGUCCAGAGAGUGGCACUAUUAGGAGGUGUGGCCUUUUUGGAGUAGGUGUGGUCUUGUUGGAGGAAGUGUGUCACUGUGGGGGUGGGCUUUGAGACCUGUAAGCCAGCCCAAUUAAGUGUUAUCUUUAUAAUUGUUUUGGUCAUAGUGUCUUUUCAUAAAACCCUUACUUAGUAAAACCCUAACUAAGGCAAACACACAACAGGUGUCAAAAAUAUUCAACUUAUUUCCCCAAGUUAUCUUGAUCUGCUUGCUUUGUUUGAUUUGUUUCUACUAUUUUAGAGGCAAAGUCACAAUUAUCAGACUUAUUUCUUACAGUUUAAGCAAUAAAAAUCUCUUCCAUUUUGGCUGGGUCUUGGGGAAGAAAGAGAGUUAUCCAACUGUGCUCUGUUUUCCACCUCAAGAGACCUCAGUGUUCUCAGCUGCUCAGUCCAUGCUGAAAAGAGAGACUGCCGUCUCUGUUAGCUUGUCUAUGAACUUGGGCCAUGUGGAGCUUUUCCUAUCAACUUUUCUCCAAUAGAAGAGAUUCACCUCCCAUUCUAGAGAAAUCUAGAAAAAUAGAAUCUGUGACUGAGCAAGCAGGAAAUGUACAUUUUUGAGAAGAAAGAGAUAAGUAGCCCCUCUGUAGGAAGGGCAUUGAAUUAUUUCAUUCUGAGCUGUUUUUCUUUUUCUAUUAAAAAUAGAUUUUUUAAUGCAAUAUAUUAUGAAUAUGGUUACCCUUCCCCCAACUCCCCAUUCACACAAAUCCACAUCAUUUUUUCUUCUCUCUCAUUAGAAAACAAACAGGCUUCCAAGAUUGUUUGCUUAUUUAUUUAAAACCAUUUUGCUGACGACUAAGCACUGACUAUAUUAAAGGUAGACAACAUGAUGAACUGACACAUACAAAUGUUGCAUAACUGUUACCACAGUCUAAUUAGCAUGUCCGUUGCCACCCUUGUAAGGUAUCUAAUCUUCAGAAUUUGUGAAAUUUGAACCCUUUGUCCCACAUCUUCUUUGGCAGGACCCCUACGUAGGACUCUACAGUGUUGGCUGUGUUUCACUCUAGCCAGAUACAUUUAAUAGUACCCUACUAAAACAAAAUCUGGAGUUAGAGCUAAGAGUUCUCACUGACCUGAAAGCAAAAUCAAACUGGUAGAAAUUUGCGAGACAACACAGUGAGAUUUCAUGCCCCCAGUUCCUCUGUGCUGGCUGGCACAUUUUUUGCUGGUUGUGUUUCUUCUUUCUUUGAAGAUAAUAAUUUGGUGACUUUCCUUUGGAACUUGAGAAAUCAUUGUCCUCAAGACAUAAACCAAGUUGUUGAGCUAUACUGAGGUAAAUUUGAAAUGAUAUGUAUUUAAAGUUCUUUUAGGUCAUAAAGCUUCUGACAUAUAACUGUGGUUCAAAACUGUUUCCUCUGAAAACAUAAUGAAGUUAACCAACAGACCAAGCAAUAAUUGGCUAAACGAAGGAAAACCUGUCUGGAUAAGACUAAGAAAUUCUAAGAAAUAGAAGAGUUUUUAAAAGGUCAAACUAAGCCUUUAAUCCCAGCAGUUGGGAGGCAGAGGCAGGCAGAUUUCUGAGUUCGAGGUCAGCCUGAUCUACAAAGUGAGUUCUAGGACAGCACAGAGAAACCCUGUCUCGAAAACAAACAAACAAACAGGUCAAACUAUCUGAGUAUGGUGGUGUACACCUUUAAUCUCUGCACUCUGGAGGCAGAGGCAAUUGGAUAUCUGUGAGUUCAAGGAAAAACUCAUCUAUUACUGAGUUCCAGGUCAGCUGAGAAUAUAUAACCCCUGUCUAAAGAAAAAAAAUCAAAUGGACAAAAACAAACAAACAAACAAACAAAACCAAGGUAUAAUGAGGAGGAGAUUUAGUUGGCUCAUGGGUCCACAAAAUGGUCAUUGCAGGUUGUGGCAAACUUUAUCAAGGAGAGGGACAGAAAAAGAAAAAGGUAAAUAAAAAAAGAAAAGUUUGUUCUACAAGAUUAAUUUAAUGGUUCUUAUGACAGGCUUCAGAGUCAUCCUGAUAUAUAAUGAAAAUUAGUCCUUUCACGGAAGAAGAGAUUGUCCCAGAUUACAUUAUCACAAUGUAGUGAAACAGCCACCUGGGUAAACCUGUGUGUGUUGGCUGUGUUUCACCUAAGCUACCGUGCACAUAUUAAUCAAAUAGCACUACCUUCUUCCACGUUUCUAUUACCUGCCCUACUUUGUGCCAAUUUCCUUUCUCUUCCUCAGCACCUCUUCUUCACUGUUCUUUAAGACAUGGGAUGGGGAUUUGUCAAAGUCAAUGAGCACUUUAUUACAGUGAGAACGUUCUGUAAUGAACAAUUCAGCAGUUUAAUGAGAUUCUGUAGAUCUGUCUCCAGCCUGUCUGUCAAGUUUCACUUCUAUAAAGCACCCUGACACUAAUCCACAGGCAGACCCAAUCUUUACCCUGGGCUGAAUAUUAGAUUCGUCCAUGGUAUAUUACAUUACUAGUAUAACCUCAGCAAAAAAUGAUGAACUUAACUCUACUUGAGGCAAUAUAGUUGGUCUGAUUUGAUUUUUCUCUAUUGAGUAUGAAGGAAUUACUUAUUUACUAAGAUAAAGCAAAAACAAUUUCUUAUUGCCUCCUGAAUGCCUAAAUUGAUAAUAUUUAUGGAAGUCUUUUAAUUCUUUUUUGGGGAUCAGGUCUAACAAACUAUCAUAUUGCCUGCAGAAACCAGUUUCUAAAAUUCUACUUUAUAAAACUAGUGGCCUUUAGAAAGGCAAUUGUGAUAGCUUCUAUACAGACAGAAUGGAAUUUUCCUGAUAGUCAGACAUCUGCACUUUACUGUGCCUAUCUAAGGCAGUGCCUAAAACUAUGGGAAAAUAACAGGCAGAUGUCACAAGAAGAGGUGACUUCAAAUCUCAGUUGUGUUAGUAAAAAACUGACAUACAGAAUCCAUUGUGUUUCUUUUUCCCUUAAUGAAGGGAUUUGGCUACUUCAUACUCUGAGCUGGCCAUAGUAAAUUCUGAUGGUUUGUAUGAUAGGAGGGAGCUCCAGAUUUCUGAACUCCCUGUCAGAACCGCAUCCUCAACAACUCUUGCAACCAUGGCAAAACUUCCUAGAAAUGCCCAGGAUGCAGCAGACUCUUGUAGCCUCUUUUAAAAUCAAGACUGUGGACUGGGGGAGAGAUAUGGUAGCUAUCAACAGCCUUGGAUUGGAAGGGUGUCUCUGCUCUGUAAACUAGAGCCAAGUUCUGAUGUCUUUAUUCUAUUUGUUAGAAGAUGGAGACAGUCACCCACCUGGCCUGUUGUGCACUAAAUCAAUAAGUUUCACAUGCCUGUGACUUUGCUGGCCCUAAUCUCUUACUACAUUCAAUAAA
Molecule: long non-coding RNA, 9332 nt
Organism: Mus musculus (house mouse)
Lineage: Eukaryota; Metazoa; Chordata; Mammalia; Rodentia; Muridae
Product: predicted gene, 31436
Exons: 3
Source: RefSeq, a predicted model, not a curated record